UAAGCGGAGGAAAAGNAACUACNAGGAUUCCCCUAGUAACNGCGAGUGAAGCGGGAAAAGCUCAAAUUUAAAAUCUGGUGGCCUUNGUCCNUCCGNGUUGUANUUUAGAGAAGCGUCUUCCGCGCUGGACCGUGCACAAGUCUCCUGGAACGGAGCGUCAUAGAGGGUGAGAAUCCCGUCUUUGGCACGGACACACCAGGGCUUUUGUGAUGCGCUCUCAAAGAGUCGAGUUGUUUGGGAAUGCAGCUCAAAAUGGGUGGUGAACUCCAUCUAAAGCUAAAUAUUGGCGAGAGACCGAUAGCGAACAAGUACCGUGAGGGAAAGAUGAAAAGCACUUUGGAAAGAGAGUGAAACAGUACGUGAAAUUGUUGAAAGGGAAACGCUUGAAGUCAGUCGCGUCGCCCGAGACUCAGCCUUGCCUCGGCUUGGUGUACUUCUCGGCUGACGGGUCAGCAUCAAUUUUGCCCCUUGGAUAAUGGCGAGGGAAAUGUGACACCUUUACGGGUGUGUUAUAGUCUCUCGUCGCAUGCAAGGGUCGGGAUUGAGGAACUCAGCACGCGCCCUCGGGCGUCGGGGCAUCUGCCCACGAUACGUGCUUAGGAUGUUGGCGUAAUGGCUUUAAACGACC
This 628-nucleotide ribosomal RNA is filed under the name uncultured Russulaceae. RNAcentral describes it as "LSU rRNA". It matches the Rfam family "Eukaryotic large subunit ribosomal RNA", at positions 47 to 649 of the family's 3401-position model. Lineage: Eukaryota; Fungi; Basidiomycota; Agaricomycetes; Russulales; Russulaceae. The record is from RNAcentral.